GCUCGGCAGGGGGGUCUGCCUGGCACGGCUCACGCGACCCCUGAGCAGCCCGCCCAGCCUGCAGGGGCGUGGAGGAGAGUCACUGCGGGUGAUGGCUCGGACCGCCCCCCUCCCCGGGCAGUGGUUUCCACUUUCCCCCUGCGCGGGGUGGUAGAUGGCGAGCCUGGCACCCGGGUUGCGAACGGGUGGCAAAGGAGGAGAGAAGAGCCUUUUUGUGGCACGGAUUGCGGUACGUGGGGGGUUGCUCUGAGGUCGGUCUCUGUGGCAGAGCUGAGCCUUGCCCGGGGGGCAGCAGGGAUCGGUGUGUCUUGCGUUAUCUUUGUUACCGGGCAGACCUCUCAGACUGGACAACAAACCUGCCUGGAAUCCCAAACAUGCUUCUUGGGAUUAUGGACCAGAUUCUUGUUUCAGCUGUUAACCUCGUGCGUAUGAAUAACCCAGUGGAUUUACAGCAGUGUAGCAGCGCAUAAUUUAACCUCUAUAUUUAGUCAUUGAGGGAAAGUAGAUCAUUAUUAGUUAAACUGUGAAUGAAGUAAUUGCAAGCUCAAGACAGUUGCAGUGAUGAUCUCUGCCUAUUACGGAGUACACUGGUUUUAACAUAAAAUGUGGGGUUUGAAGUUCACCUAUCUCAACUUUUGCCUGUUAUCACAAAACCAAAGGAUGUGUGAGUGGAUUACGUGGUGCAUCCAAAAUGGAAGAAAGUUCAAAACUAAAAAGUCUCAUGCAUGAGAAUAAUAUACUAGAGGACCUGGUGGAAGCUUUGCAUAUUUCUUUGACCAGUGCAGUAGCCUUCUCAACAUAUGAUAUGACUGUGGAAUGCGGUUCUCUUAUGGUCUCAUAUACCAAUUAACGUGGCUGGACUACACUUCCUCUCAUCUAGCAAAUGGACCAGAAGAUACUUACCUGACAUUUUCAAAGAGAGCCACAUAAUUCCCACUGACCACAGAAAGUUGAAAAUUUACUCUUUCUAAAUGUGGAGGUUAGGAUUCAAGUUAAUUUUAACAUUCAAAUGAGCAGUUGAGGCCUUUGAGGUAUGCCCAUCACUAAUCAGUACCCUUACUGGUAGGAGAAGAUAAAUGGGAUCAGGAGUUUCAAUCACAAAAAAGUUUAACGCACAAAAAAGUAUUAGGUCAUUUAGUACAGGGACUCAGGGACCAACACCGGAUAUUGAAAUAUAGUUCUGUAUUCUCCAUUGUUUUGCCCAAAGUAUGUGGUUUCCACCAUUUCACCUGAGAAACUACUCUAAUCUACUAGAUCUUAGGUAUGAAUUUUUUUCUGAUAUUCGUCCUUUGCUUUUGCUUAAUUUCAUUGCAUGCCCCUAACUAAACUACCUUGGGCCACUCUCAUCAAGGUAAUGGAGAUGGGAGAUAUUUGUAUGGAGUAGAAAUUUUUUCUGAAUUUGAGCGCGCAGUAGAGGUGCUAAAGUGAGGCAAUUAGAUUGGGUGGGAGAAGGGCUAAGGACAAUUUUGGGUGGGAGGGCAUGAGUCCUGCCAAAGGGAAGAGCUAAUUUAACAAUUGCAGAUACGGAUUCACUUUUAUAAGCUAUUUACACAUGGUUAAUGGUCUUCAUUUUAUUCUGAUCUAUUUGAUACUGUUACUGAGUAGUGGUUCCAGCUGCCAUUGUUCGUUCAUUUAUAAUCAGUGUUUAAAAUAGGAUCAGACCCUUAAUUCUUUAGAAUAUAAUGCAAGACCAACCAUUCCCCAAAAUUUUUACACAGGGAAAUUCUCCCCUACUGCCCACUUCCAUUUCCUGCUCUUUAAAAGGGCAAAGCUGGAGUAGUUUAGCAACCUCAAAGGGAAAAAAAGGCUUGUUUUUACUCUACCAUCUCCCACCCUCCAAUGUUAGUCUAAAACAAUACAAUUAAAAGCAACCCUUUUAGCAUUUCUGUUUGAGUUUUAUAUUCUUUCACUUCAGGUCAUUUUCCUAUAGCAUUAGGUCUGGCUGGCUGUUGUAAGUUGCUGUAUCCAAUUCUACAGAGUGUUACUGGAAAUACUUAUGUAUUCAAGUUACUAUACACAAAUAAAACUCUUAAAAAAUCCUAAACAUACAGGUUUUAUUUUCUAGUGCAUAAAAUAAAGUUUUGAAAAGUUUAAAUAUUUCUUUGAUAAGGGAAAGAGAAGGAUCAAAGGAUACCUAAUACCAUGGUUGUUUAUUAUUUUGUUGUUUGAUAUGUUUAUCAGAAUAUUUAAAACUCUCGAGACCAUAAUCAGAAAUUUAGAAUAUAGUGACAAUAGGGUCCCUUUCUGUUCCCACUGACUUCAAUGGGGAUAGAAUUUGGUCCUGUGCUUACAUAAGAAUUACUGUCUUGUGCUAAUGUAUUUUACAUGCAACAGUAAAGCUAUUUUAAAAAAUAAUAUAGGGAGGGAGCAUGGAUUUGUGGUGACAGAAUGUAAACUGGAUUCUAAUCCUAGCACUGACGCUAACCCGGCAACAGAUUACAGUUAGGCCCUCUUGACUUCAGUGGGGUGCCAUGCAAGUCCAGUCUGCUUUCACAGCAUACAUUGAAGGAUCAAGGCAAGUCCACUUAGGGCCCAAUCUAGCACCAUUGAAGACAAUGGAAAGACACCUUUUGACUGAAGUAAAAGUUGGGUUAGGCUUGUAACCGCUCAGGGCCCAAUUCAGAGUAUUGAUAUAAGUGUGUGAGAUUCUACUGGAGUUGCCCCUGGUUAUGUCAGAUCUGAAUCUAACCCUCUGUGCCUUAGUUUUCCAAUCUGUGACACGAGGAUAAUAUUUACCUACCCUAUUAGGAUUUAUAGAUUCAGAGGGUACAGCUACACUGCAAAAACACACACACAAAACCCCACAGCAGCAAACCCCUCGGAGCCUAGGUCACCUGAUUCAGUCUCACAGUACAGACCUAAAAAUAUUUAGUUGACUCAGGCUCCGAGACUCUCAGCCAUAGUUUGUUUUUUGCUGUGUAGCAUACUCAGAGUUUAAGGCCGGAAGGGAACAUUAGGUCACCUAAUUGCAUCUGAAGUGGUUUUUUACCCACGAAAGCUUAUGCCCAAAUAAAUCUGUUAGUCUUUAAGGUGCCACCGGACUCCUUGUUGAUUAGAUCACCUAGACUGACCUGUAUAUCAAGAGCAAUUAAACUUUACCCAGCUAUCCCUGUAUUAAGUCCAAUAAUGUGUGUUUUUCUAUAGCAGAUCUUCCAGAAAGGCCUCCAGUCUUGAUGUGAAGACACCAAGAGAUGGAGACUCUACCUCUUCCCUUGGCAGUUUUGUUCCAAUGGUUACUCACCCUUACAAUUAGGAAUUUGUGUCUAAUUUGAAUUUGUCUGGCUUCAGCUUCCAGACACUGAUUCUUGUUCUGCCUUUCUCCACUGGACAAGAGGGCCCUUUCUACCUGCUAUUUUCUGUCCGUGAAGGUCCUUAUACAUUGUAAUCAAGUCACCGCUUUUAUUUUUAUUUUAUUUUUUUUAUUAAUAAGCUAAGCCAUUGGAACUCUUUAAUUCUCUCACUAUAAGGCAUUUUCUCCAGCCCUCAAAUAAUUUUUGUGGCUCUUUUCUACACCCUUGUUAAUUCUUUAACAUCCCUUCUAAAAUGUGGACAUCAGAAGUGGAUGAAGCAUUUCAGUAUCAGUUUCGCCAGUGCUGUAUCCAUAGGGAGAAAAAUCACUCCCUAUUCCUACUCACUACUCCCUUGUUUAUACAUCCAAGGAUCUCAGUAGUACUGUCUGCCUCAGCAUCGUAGUGGGAGCUCAUAUUAAGAUUCUUGUCCACUAGGAUACCUGAAUAUUGUAAAGCUUCAAUGACCAUGACACACAUGGAAUGUCUGACAGAAGGGACUGUGAGCUAGCCUGUCCCUGGAUUUAGUGCAAGUGCCUAUAGGUUGGGGGGCACUAGUCAUGGGGGAGAACAUAAGGAGCAUUGUUCCCUCCUUGCUUCGCACACCCUGCUGGUGAGCCAGGGACAAAUGCAGUCCCUGGCCUGGGGGAACCAGAGAGACAGCUCCCUCAGUGCAGCCAAUGAGCACAAAUUGUUCCUACGAGUACAACUUGCAUCUGCUUCAUCCUGGACAGUAGAGAUGAUCAUGUCUGCAUGUGAUUUGGGGAGCAAGAGGCACCAUCUGAAAGGACAGUGCAGCUUACACACUCCCCCUGCGUGCUGAGUAGCUGAAGACUGUAUUGUACCUCCUGAGCCUCGUUGCCACAUUCUGCGCGCUGUGGCUAGUGCCAUAAUCUAGCCCAGUGAAGAAGGCAUAACAGAAGAGCUCAGUAUUUAACAAAGAGAAGUCCUGCUGCACAACCCCACAUCCAGGGGUCCUGGAACAAUUUUUAUAAUGAGGGAGCUGAGAGCCGUGAACCAAACUGAAAACCCUGCAUAUAAUGGAAACCACUUUAAGCCAGGGGGUGUGACAUCUUAGGUGCUCUGUUAUACCACUGCUGCUAAGGGUCAUCUAACUCUCUGUCAGGAGAGGGGAUCAUUCUGAAAAGAGGAACUAAGGACAGGCACACUGCAGAAUAUAUUUGACCUGUCCUUAGCUUUGUAAACAUUUUGGCUAUAGACAUGUCCACAACACAUAUUUGGGAGCCAUCUAAUUUUGUUUUGUGAUCUUGGAACGACCAACAAAACAAAACAGAAGCUACUGUACGUAGAGUGCAAGAGGUGCUUUUUCCUGGGAUCUUUGUGUGAAGGAUAAAUUCUCCCCUUGAAGCAUGGCAAAAUUCCCAUUGGCUUCAUGGGCACAGGAUCAGUAUUGUGUUGGAAAAUUACAUGUGUUUAUACAAUGACUUGAUUAAAAUAAGUUUUCUAACCUCUGCACCAGAUGCUAGGACUCAGUAUUUUUCCUCGUGUCAAAUUACCCUCAGUCCCAUCUAAAUGUAAUCUCAACUACGUUAAAGCAUGCAAGAUAUUUCGAGAUAAAAAUAUAUUGGUAAUACACUCAAGAUGUGUUUGUAUUCAAAAUAAAGUGUCCCCUUUAGAUAGUAUUUCGUCCUGCCUCAGUGCAGGGGACUGGAUAAGAUGAUGUAUUGAGGUCCCUUCCAGUCCUACAUUUCUUUGAUCUAAUAAUAUUUGGCAGUUAUCCUUUGUCGAUCUCAAAGCACUUUACAAAGAUGAGUAAAUCAAAAGCCAUUUCAUAAUUGGGGAAACCAAGACAGAGAGAUUAAAAGACUUGCCAAAGAUCAAAAAGCAAGUAGUAGAACAGCACCCAUGUCUCCUAAAACCCAGUCCAGCUCCCUAGCCAGCCAGCCCCGCUGCUUCACAAUACACUCUGUGGGUGAGUCAAAGCCCAUUGAAGUCAAUGGAAGGACUCCUGUUGACUUCAAGAGACUUUGAACUGGGCUCUAUAAUGUUAACAACGAUGGCUAAGGACUCACCUACAGUACUGUUGACCCACUUACGUCAGAGAUCCAUUUUGCAGUGUACAUCUGAUUUAACUGUGUAUUGGUAUUCUUGCAUCAUGUUAAAAGUUUAGACAACCAAAUCUAACCUGGUUCAGGUGUAUAGUUAAGUUCUGGGGUGCACUACACACUGGAACAAUAUUGUACUGAGGUUCUCCUUUUGAGGCUGUAACUGUAGUGCAGAUGUGUUUAUGGAGAUAAGGAGUUCAGCUAACUGCAGGAGAACCAUAGGGUCAAAUUCACCCAUAGUGGAAGCAGGUGCAGCUCCACUGCCCUUGAUAAAAUGGGGCCACAGUGUUUCCCGUUUGCCCCACAGAACUCUUAAAUUGAAGAGCCCAAAUGCCUCCUUAUACAAGUUUGAAAUGAAAUCAGUGAUUAGAAGAGCAGUUAAUCCAUCUUUCUCCACAUAAUACUUCGGGGAGCACUUCUGUGUAACUGUCAAGAUUCGCUUUAAAGGAUGUUACCAUCCUUCCAUAAAUAUAAAACAUGUCACCAUGCACAAAUCACUCAAACAUAAUCUUACACAUUUAAACUGGCCACCCAGAGAAGUUAAAAUAAACUACAGAGUUUCAUCUAAUUCAGAAUAAUUCACACUAGUCUUUAUCAUCAGGAGAAUGAGAUCAAGCAAGUGGGGAAUGUAGCAGAAGUGACUGUGUUAAACUCUGCUGUUAUGUUGGUAUAAAUCCAAAAUAAUCCAUUAACCUGAAUAGAGUAACUGGACAGGCGUAUAUGUUAGCACCCUUUCUCAUAGGGAAAGCUCUAACUCUCUUACUGGGAUUCUUAAACAUAAUGAAUUAUUAUAUCCGAAGAUAGAAGUGACAGAAAACAUUGAGUUAUCUUUGACUGCCACGUUUUUCCUGAGUGCUGGCUUAAGAACUGAGCCUUGUAAUAUUUUAUUUACCAUUUUUACUGGACAUUUCUUGACCCGCCACUUCAAAGAGCUGAGGUACAUAGAACUUCUUAGGUAGCCACACUUCUGGAGAUGUUUCCCUUAAAUCCUUUCAUUGGUGCUUUUUGUCAGUCUGGCAUAAAGACCCUGUUAUGGAUGAAAUAUGGAAACAGAAAAAAUGUAUUAAGAUCAAUUACUCAUUAUUAUUACUGUAUUACUCAUACAAUUAGGGCCUAAUUCUAAUCUUGCACCAGUUUAACACUGAGGUAACUCCAUUAACUUCAGCAGAGGUACCCCAAAUUCACAUCAGUGUGACAGAGUAGAAUUGGGCCUAAAGUAACCACAACAAAAGGCCACAGCAAGAAGCUCAUAACUGAAAACUGAGUUUGCUCCCUUGAAUAUUAGUGUUUCAGUUCUCUUUCCAGCUAAGUUACAAUUAAAUGGCAAGGAAGAAAAACUUUUUGUUCUAUCAUUACAGUGAUUCUAGGCUUUAAAAACAAACACAUGCA
Long non-coding RNA from Chelonia mydas (Green sea turtle), 6742 nucleotides. RefSeq lists it as uncharacterized. Lineage: Eukaryota; Metazoa; Chordata; Testudines; Cheloniidae. The transcript has 3 exons. The record is from RefSeq and is a predicted model, not a curated record.